GAUGAACGCUGGCUACAGGCUUAACACAUGCAAGUCGAGGGGAAACGCCGGGGAAGCUUGCUUCCCCGGACGUCGACCGGCGCACGGGGGAGUAACGCGUAUCCAACCUGCCUCUGACUGAGGGAUAACCCGUCGAAAGUCGGCCUAAUACCUCAUGGCAUCGUCUGGGGGCAUCCAACGACGAUUAAAGAUUUCAUCGGUCAGGGAUGGGGAUGCGUCUGAUUAGCUUGUGGGCGGGGUAACGGCCCACCAAGGGUUCGCUCAGGAGGGGUUCUGAGAGGAAGCUCCCCCACAUUGGAAGUGAGACACGGCCCAAACUCCUACGGGAGGCAGCAGUGAGGAAGAGUGGUCAAGGGGCGGGAGCCUUAACCAGACAAGUAGUGUGCAGGAGGACGGCCCUAGGUGUGGUAAACUGCUUUUAGGCGGGGAGAAAGUGAGGGACGUGUCCUUGAUUGCAGGUACCGCAUGAAGAAGAACCGGCUAAUUCCGUG
RNAcentral lists this ribosomal RNA (491 nucleotides) under uncultured bacterium. RNAcentral describes it as "partial 16S ribosomal RNA". It matches the Rfam family "Bacterial small subunit ribosomal RNA", at positions 28 to 507 of the family's 1533-position model. The record is from RNAcentral.